This 717-nucleotide ribosomal RNA is filed under the name Klebsiella aerogenes. Its description in RNAcentral is "bacterial SSU rRNA". It matches the Rfam family "Bacterial small subunit ribosomal RNA", at positions 28 to 736 of the family's 1533-position model. The record is from RNAcentral. Lineage: Bacteria; Pseudomonadati; Pseudomonadota; Gammaproteobacteria; Enterobacterales; Enterobacteriaceae.
AUUGAACGCUGGCGGCAGGCCUAACACAUGCAAGUCGAGCGGUAACACAGAGAGCUUGCUCUCGGGUGACGAGCGGCGGACGGGUGAGUAAUGUCUGGGAAACUGCCUGAUGGAGGGGGAUAACUACUGGAAACGGUAGCUAAUACCGCAUAACGUCGCAAGACCAAAGUGGGGGACCUUCGGGCCUCAUGCCAUCAGAUGUGCCCAGAUGGGAUUAGCUAGUAGGUGGGGUAAUGGCUCACCUAGGCGACGAUCCCUAGCUGGUCUGAGAGGAUGACCAGCCACACUGGAACUGAGACACGGUCCAGACUCCUACGGGAGGCAGCAGUGGGGAAUAUUGCACAAUGGGCGCAAGCCUGAUGCAGCCAUGCCGCGUGUAUGAAGAAGGCCUUCGGGUUGUAAAGUACUUUCAGCGAGGAGGAAGGCGUUAAGGUUAAUAACCUUGGCGAUUGACGUUACUCGCAGAAGAAGCACCGGCUAACUCCGUGCCAGCAGCCGCGGUAAUACGGAGGGUGCAAGCGUUAAUCGGAAUUACUGGGCGUAAAGCGCACGCAGGCGGUCUGUCAAGUCGGAUGUGAAAUCCCCGGGCUCAACCUGGGAACUGCAUUCAAAACUGGCAGGCUAGAUCUUGUAGAGGGGGUAGAAUUCCAGGUGUAGCGGUGAAAUGCGUAGAAGAUCUGGAAGAAUACCCGGUGGCGAAGGCGGCCCCCUGGACAA